AUACGGAGGGUCCAAGCGUUAUCCGGAUUCAUUGGGUUUAAAGGGUCCGCAGGCGGGAAAAUAAGUCAGUGGUGAAAGCCUACAGCUCAACUGUAGAACUGCCAUUGAAACUGUUUUUCUUGAGUAUAGAUGAAGUGGGCGGAAUACACCAUGUAGCGGUGAAAUGCAUAGAUAUGAUAUAGAACACCGAUUGCGAAGGCAGCUCACUAAACUAUUACUGACGCUCAGGGACGAAAGCGUGGGGAGCGAACAGGAUUAGAAACCCUAGUAGUCC
Molecule: ribosomal RNA, 274 nt
Filed under: uncultured bacterium
Lineage: Bacteria
Description: partial 16S ribosomal RNA
Rfam family: Bacterial small subunit ribosomal RNA
Source: RNAcentral